AGACCUCGGUUUCUUUGCCCUGUGAACUCCUCAUAAAUUUAUUAUUUCCUCGCCUAAAAAGUGUGAAAGGGAGCUCCCUGGUGGCUCAGUGGGUUGAGGAUCCAGUGCUGUCACUGCUGUGGUGUGGGUUUGAUCCCUGGCUCAGGAACUUCAUAUGCCCUGGAUGCAGCCAAAAAAAAAAAGAAAAAAAAAAAAGAAAAUUAAGAUAUCUCGGAGUUCCCUGGUGGCUCAGAGCAUUGAGGACACAGUGUUGUCACUGCUGUGUCUCUGAUUACUGCUGUGGCACAGGAUUGACCCCUGGCCCAGAAACUUCUAUAUGCCACAGGAGUGGCCAGGAAAAAAAUUACAUUAUAUAACUCGCAAUGGAAGGAAUCAUAUUAAAAACAGAGGCAAUACAUUCUCAAAACCGAUCUCAGAAAAGCAGACUGGUAUUUGCUGUGGGGGAGGGAGUGGGAUGGACUGGGAGUUUGGGGUUAAUAGAUACAAACUAUUCUAUUACAUUUAGAAUAGAUAAGCAAUGAGGUCCUGCUAUACAGCACAGGGAACUAUAGCCAAUCACUUGUGACAGAACAUGAGAGAAGAUAAUAUGAGAAAAAGAAUGUAUUUCUAGGUAUGAUGGGGUCACUUUGCUGUACAGCAGAAAUGGACAGAACAUUGUAAAUCAACUCUAAUAAGAAAAUUAAAAAAAAAAAACCUAUCUCAAAAAAAAAGGAGGUGUAAAGUUUAAAUGUUUUCAUUUGCAGCUCCUGGUUCUGUGUGAGGCCUGAGGACUUCCAUAUAUGAGAACUCAGCACAUCCAGAGGCUCUCUGGGGCCACCUGCAGCCAGUUCAUUCUCCUGGAGAGAAAGACCCAAACCUACAGCCUUCGUGCCACAUGCUCUGCUCUGGGAUCUGGUGACACGAAGAUCCAUCACCACCUCCACCUGCAAGGGGCGUCGCAGCUCAGCAGGCAGCCCUGGUGCCCCCGGCCCUCCUGCAGGGCUCAGGGAAGACUACAGCCGGAGAGCCCACUGCUCAGUUCGCGCUGGGGAACUGCUCCGAAGAGGUAGGGCAGAGGCCAGUUUAUAUAUGAUUUGGGGCGGGGGGGGGGGGGCUAGGAAAUACAUACAGUCAAGCGUACAUCUUGGUCAAAGAUUACUGCUAAUCGCAAAGAACAGACAUCUCAAGUUAAUGACUUUAGGGCUUUUCUGUGGAUGACAAGAGGCCGGAAUCUGGGGUCCCUGGAAUUCUUCCAAGAGAUGCAUCUAACUAACUAUCCAGGGGCCCCGUUGCGCAAAGCCCAGGUGGCUCUGGCUUUCCAUUAGGAACACCUUUCAGGGGCACUGUCUGGGGCCACUGC
RNAcentral lists this long non-coding RNA (1339 nucleotides) under Sus scrofa (pig). RNAcentral describes it as "lncRNA (ENSSSCG00040011388.1)". The record is from RNAcentral. Lineage: Eukaryota; Metazoa; Chordata; Mammalia; Artiodactyla; Suidae.